UAGUCCACGCGGUAAACGAUGGGCACUAGUUGUUGGGGGUGUUGACCCCUCCAGCGACGGAGCUAACGCAUUAAGUGCCCCGCCUGGGGAGUACGGUCGCAAGAUUAAAACUCAAAGGAAUUGACGGGGGCCCGCACAAGCGGUGGAUUAUGUGGUUUAAUUCGAAGCAACGCGCAGAACCUUACCUGGGCUUGAAAUCCCGCGAAUCCUCUAGAGAUAGAGGAGUACCUGUUAAAGGGGAUGCGGUGACAGGCGCUGCAUGGCUGUCGUCAGCUCGUGUUGUGAAAUGUUGGGUUAAGUCUCGCAACGAGCGCAACCCCUAUUAUUAGUUGCCAGCAUUAAGUUGGGCACUCUAAUGAGACUGCCUGGGUUAACCAGGAGGAAGGUGGGGAUGACGUCAAGUCCUCAUGGCCCUUAUGUCCAGGGCUACACACGUAAUACAAUGGUCAGUACAAAGGGAAGCGAACCAGCGAUGGGGAGCAAAUCUCAAAAAGCUGAUCUCAGUCCGGAUUGG
Molecule: ribosomal RNA, 514 nt
Filed under: uncultured bacterium
Lineage: Bacteria
Description: bacterial SSU rRNA
Rfam family: Bacterial small subunit ribosomal RNA
Source: RNAcentral